This 496-nucleotide ribosomal RNA is filed under the name uncultured bacterium. RNAcentral's name for it is "partial 16S ribosomal RNA". It matches the Rfam family "Bacterial small subunit ribosomal RNA", at positions 29 to 523 of the family's 1533-position model. The record is from RNAcentral.
AUUGAACGCUGGCGGAAUGCUUUACACAUGCAAGUCGAACGGUAGAGGGGGCAACCCCUUGAGAGUGGCGAACGGGUGAGUAAUACAUCGGAACGUGCCCAGUCGUGGGGGAUAACGUAGCGAAAGCUACGCUAAUACCGCAUACGAUCUGAGGAUGAAAGCGGGGGACCUUCGGGCCUCGCGCGAUUGGAGCGGCCGAUGGCAGAUGAGGUAGUUGGUGAGGUAAAGGCUCACCAAGCAGGCGAUCUGUAGCUGGUCUGAGAGGAUGAUCAGCCACACUGGGACGGAGAGAGGGCCCAGACUCCUACGGGAGGCAGCAGUGGGGAAUUUUGGACAAUGGGCGCAAGGCUGAUCCAGCCAUUCCGCGUGCAGGAUGAAGGCCUUCGGGUUAUAAACUGCUUUUGUACGGAACGAAAAGGCUCUGGUUAAUACCCGGGGCUCAUGACGGUACCGUAAGAAUAAGCACCGGCUAACUACGUGCCAGCCGCCGCAGUAA